GGCACGGUGGCGCAGUGGUUAGCACUGUUGCCUCACAGCAAGAAGGUUGUGGGUUCGAUUACAGCCUGUAUGG
Non-coding RNA from Gymnothorax javanicus (giant moray), 73 nucleotides. The record is from the annotation of a GenBank genome assembly. Lineage: Eukaryota; Metazoa; Chordata; Actinopteri; Anguilliformes; Muraenidae.